This is a long non-coding RNA of Equus quagga, 484 nucleotides long. RefSeq lists it as uncharacterized. The transcript is spliced from 4 exons. The record is from RefSeq and is a predicted model, not a curated record. NCBI's taxonomy places the organism in Eukaryota, Metazoa, Chordata, Mammalia, Perissodactyla, Equidae.
CUUCAAUACGUGGAUUUUGCAGGGACAUGAUUCAGUCCAUAGCACGUAUGUAAGAAAGAUGGGUUGUGGGUAGACCCAUGGAGAGGACUCAGGUUAGGACUCGAGAGGAGGAAGAGGAACCAAUGAAGAUCAUCUAUUUUUGUGAUACCCGGGACUUGGGGAGCCUUCAGGACUGUCUUCCCUGCUGAGGAGCCUUGGUGGGUGAGGAGCGAGCUCAGAAGAUUCAGCCGCCUUCGACCCAGUGCUGUGCUCCAGGGAACAGAAGCCGAACACAGUGGUGAAACUGAACUCUAGUCUCAGUCUGGAAUCCUUUCGGCUACUAUUGCCCGUGAAAGAGUGAGAUCAUUUUCCUUCAAAGAAUGAUUCUCAGCAUUUUGAGGGGCCCACAUCAUUAACCGGUGGAGUCGGGAGGAAGAGCUGGAAGCAGCCCCAGAAUCCUGACAAGGCCGUUCAAGGAGCGGGGCUGGCAGCGGCGCCAUGCUUU